Molecule: long non-coding RNA, 312 nt
Filed under: Zostera marina
Lineage: Eukaryota; Viridiplantae; Streptophyta; Magnoliopsida; Alismatales; Zosteraceae
Description: long non-coding RNA (ZMAR_LNC004448)
Source: RNAcentral
CCACUUGCAGAAGUGAAUGGGGCAAAUGGAUCAAGACCACUUGUAUCAAUUCUCAUCAUCACUUAUAAAAAGGGUAGGAGAUCUAUCAGGUUGGGCAAAUGACCCCCUUAAAAAGUAUCUCAUCAGUAGUUUUCUCAACAAAACUAUACAGAUUAUCUCAAUGUUACUGAUUGAAAUCGUUGAUUUAAAUUGAUUCAAAAAUUGAUUUAAAUUGAUUCCUGAAACAAGAGGAGACUGCAAUUGGUACCUGAAACAAUCAAGAAGGAACAACUACGAAACCCUAGAAUAGUAGUGUCCGAUGUUGCUGCUGCU